This is a long non-coding RNA of Mercenaria mercenaria, 1079 nucleotides long. RefSeq lists it as uncharacterized. The record is from RefSeq and is a predicted model, not a curated record. NCBI's taxonomy places the organism in Eukaryota, Metazoa, Mollusca, Bivalvia, Venerida, Veneridae. The transcript is spliced from 2 exons.
AUUUCCACCGCUUGUUUAAACUAAUAGUAAUAAAAGCAAGUGUUUGAUAUUAAUUUGAGUCACAAAAUGCCAUCUCAUCUUUUUGCUGGUAAAUCUACCGAAUAGUGUCAGAAAUGCAAAACUGCACUCUUUUAUUAAGCGUCACAAUUCUGUCAAGAAGCAAUGCGUUUCUUAUGAAAACAACGCGCGGGAGACUGACAGUUUUAUUGAUUUUUGAAACUUCACACGGUUAAGAAGACAUUUGAAAUCAUGUACAAUAUGAAAGAAUUACUUUAUUUUACUUUUUUUAUCUAUACUGCAAUCCAACAUUUUCAAUACAUUAAAUCCCCACUAACGCCGAAGGUUAUUUCUAAAGGGUUUUUUGUUUUGAAUAUGAAUUCUUCCAUGUACUGCUAGCCGCUUUAAUGUUGAUUUGACGGUGGUGAUUUUUCAUACAUAUUUUCCACGUAUGGAUGGAUAUCUAACUGUUUUAAAUUUGAUUAAUUCCCUUAAUCCACACUACUUCUAUAAAGUCAUUGUGUAUUCUCGUGGCCAAGAUCACCUUGUGAGAGAGAAUAUAUUUAAAGCGGUUCUGUUUCAAUCCGUUAAAAGGUCGAAACUACUAGUCAAUAUGAUUCGGACGAAUCCAGUGUUUCAUUGUAAAUUGUUUCAUAAUAUCAUCGAGGGUAACAUAUUUCUGUUCUUAAUAUAUCUGAAAAUGAGUUGUGUAUUUGUAUUUCUGAACAAAAACUGACGUCCUGAUAAUUGUUUGCAUACCUCUUGUAUCUUUAAUUGAUAUAUUUUAUGUUUAUUUAUCUUACAAACGUAAUUGGCAGAAAUCUAGACUGAAGUGCUAUAUUGCUCAUCGGAAAAUAAUGUUGUAACUACUUUAGAUGAGAAUAAUGUGUCACUGUAAGUUUCUGUUACUUAAUGUAGAUAUAUUUGGAAUAACAACCUUCUAAACGUUUAGUUUGGAAAUGCGUAGAAGGAAAUUAAUGAUUUUAUAUUUUGCUGUGGUAACUUUAAAAUUACUUUUAGGAACACUAAGCAAUUCAACUGAUGAUUUAAAACGAGAAACAAGGACUGGAACUACUAUACAG